RNAcentral lists this ribosomal RNA (492 nucleotides) under uncultured bacterium. Its description in RNAcentral is "partial 16S ribosomal RNA". It matches the Rfam family "Bacterial small subunit ribosomal RNA", at positions 29 to 507 of the family's 1533-position model. The record is from RNAcentral.
AGUGAACGCUGGCGGUAGGCCUAACACAUGCAAGUCGAACGGCAGCACAGUAAGAGCUUGCUCUUACGGGUGGCGAGUGGCGGGCGGGUGAGGAAUGCAUCGGAAUCUACUUUUUCGUGGGGGGUAACGUAGGGAAACUUACGCUAAUACCGCAUACGACCUACGGGUGAAAGCAGGGGAUCUUCGGACCUUGCGCGAUUGAAUGAGCCGAUGUCGGAUUAGCUAGUUGGCGGGGUAAAGGCCCACCAAGGCGACGAUCCGUAGCUGGUCUGAGAGGAUGAUCAGCCACACUGGAACUGAGACACGGUCCAGACUCCUACGGGAGGCAGCAGUGGGGAAUAUUGGACAAUGGGCGCAAGCCUGAUCCAGCCAUACCGCGUGGGUGAAGAAGGCCUUCGGGUUGUAAAGCCCUUUUGUUGGGAAAGAAAAGCAGCAGGUUAAUACCCCGCUGUUCUGACGGUACCCAAAGAAUAAGCACCGGCUAACUUCGUG